GAGCCCUAAAAAGCUCUUUAAACACACAGGUCUGGUCCUGGCCUUAAAAUCAACUUUAUCUCAACCUACACAUGCAAGUUUCCGCCCACCCGUGAGUACACACCCUACCUCUACUUAGAAUAAAGGACCUGGUAUCAGGCGCACUCGCCCAAGACACCUAGCUACGCCACGCCCACAAGGGUUUUCAGCAGUGACCAACAUUGUCAAUAAACGCAAGUUUGAAUCAGUUAGAGAUUACAGAGCCGGCAAAGAUGGUGCCAGCCGCCGCGGUUAAACCAUACGACUCAAAUUGAUUUCUAUCGGCGUAAAGCGUGACUAAAGUUCAACACAAACUAGGGCUAAACCUUGACUUCACUGUGAAACUCAUGUCAAAAAGAAAUCCAAAAACGUAAGUUACCCUACCCCCCACUUAAAUUCACGACAGUUAGGGCACAAACUGGGAUUAGAUACCCCACUAUGCCUGACCGUAAACUUUUACUUACUACACCACUCGCCAGGGAACUACAAGCAAAGCUUAAAACCCAAAGGACUUGACGGUGUCCCACAUCCCCUAGAGGAGCCUGUCCCAUAACCGAUGAUCCCCGCUAGACCUUACCACUCUUAGCUUAUCAACCUGUAUACUUCCGUCCCGCCCACCACGUGAGUGACACCAAGUGAGCCCAAUGUCCCCAACA
Molecule: ribosomal RNA, 674 nt
Filed under: Phyllonastes heyeri (Heyer's leaf frog)
Lineage: Eukaryota; Metazoa; Chordata; Amphibia; Anura; Craugastoridae
Description: Noblella heyeri (Heyer's leaf frog) partial 12S ribosomal RNA
Rfam family: Bacterial small subunit ribosomal RNA
Source: RNAcentral